Molecule: ribosomal RNA, 292 nt
Filed under: uncultured Bacteroides sp.
Lineage: Bacteria; Pseudomonadati; Bacteroidota; Bacteroidia; Bacteroidales; Bacteroidaceae
Description: partial 16S ribosomal RNA
Rfam family: Bacterial small subunit ribosomal RNA
Source: RNAcentral
AUGCAAGUCGAGGGGCAGCAUGAACUUAGCUUGCUAAGUUUGAUGGCGACCGGCGCACGGGUGAGUAACACGUAUCCAACCUGCCGAUAACUCGGGGAUAGCCUUUCGAAAGAAAGAUUAAUACCCGAUGGCAUAAUAGAACCGCAUGGUUUGAUUAUUAAAGAAUUUCGGUUAUCGAUGGGGAUGCGUUCCAUUAGGCAGUUGGUGGGGUAACGGCCCACCAAACCUUCGAUGGAUAGGGGUUCUGAGAGGAAGGUCCCCCACAUUGGAACUGAGACACGGUCCAAACUCC